Molecule: long non-coding RNA, 521 nt
Filed under: Equus caballus (horse)
Lineage: Eukaryota; Metazoa; Chordata; Mammalia; Perissodactyla; Equidae
Description: lncRNA (ENSECAG00000059642.1)
Rfam family: mir-802 microRNA precursor family (bases 44-137)
Source: RNAcentral
CUUGGUGCAUGUUUUCCAGGCCCAACUCUUGAUCACCAUCAGACUUCUAUUAUUUGCAAUCAGUAACAAAGAUUCAUCCUUGUGUCCAUCAAGCAACAAGGAGAAUCUUUGUCACUUAGUGUAAUUAAUAGCUGCGCUUCGCGUGGGAAGACGAAAGAAGGAUGCCUUUCGCACAUAGACUUGGGUGAAUUCAGAACAGGCUUCACGGAUCCUUGCUGCCUUUUGACCAACUACAAGGCCAGAACUCCAAGAAGUGGGCAGAUGAGUCUCUUUUUCAAUCAUUGCACAGUGUCACCUCCUGUCCUGCCCAGUCUAACAAUCACCAAAAGGCCUCUGAAGUAUUGCCAGUCAAUGUUCAUGGUGCUCUUUGUCCAGUUGGGGAACUCCACCUGACCCGACUACAUUGCAGUAGGCUGCAGCAGUGACAACUUUGGGGGCCAGCCUCCGUGAGUUGGUUCUGAUUUGAGAUAUGUUGCUUCAUGCUGCACCCCCUCCUUUCUGCUCAGCCUUUCCAAGUUCCU